AUAAACCCCAAAGCAAUUCUAGGGUUUUGAAGACAGUCAACUCCAAUAUCGCCGAUCUGUAUAUCUUCGUUUUCUUUUUCUCAGAUUUGUCAAAUAAAGGUAAUUAAUUGUGCAGUUUCUGCUCGGGUUUUGCGUUUACGCAUUGUAAGUUACUUUGAUUCAUUGUAGAUUCGGUUUUUACCUCAAACUUCAAUGUGGCAAUAGCGAUGUUGUUAGCAUACGACUAAAAAAUUUGUCAUUUACAUCGUAGAAUUCCUUAAUAAUAUGGAUUUUAUUCAUUCAAAUGUCACCAACACAGCAAAUUGGUUUUUCAAUAUCUAAUUUGUGUCUGAAGGUGACGAUAUAGAUCAUAUCUUGAUAUGUUAUUUUCUUCGCUGUAGAUAAUAGUUUAUACUUUAUAUGCUAUCUAACCAUAGCGAGGAUGGAUGAUUAGGAUUUAUAUAUCGUUACUCUUAUAUACAUAAUUUUAAAGUUAUAAAAUUUUAUAUGUUUUUAAUGUAUCAUUGUAGGGUAUAUGUAACCUAUGUAUGCAAUGGUAUAUUGGUAUGUCAUCCUUAAAGCAAAUAGGCUAAUUCUAAUGCCAACUUUGUGUCGGAAGAUGACUAAAUCAACAAAGAUUGUAGGUUGUUUUACUAAUGAAGAGUUACACUCCAUUGGUAUGCUUGCACCUUUGACAUUGAUGUAUACAAAUUAAUUGUAGAGAACAUCUCUUUACAAGCACAAUAAUAUUAAUAAUUCAUUUGAAAGAUGUUCAACAUCAAAUUCAAAAUCAGGAAUGACUAAAACUCUAUUUAGUAAGCAGCAAUUUGCUGAGUUUUUAUAUUUGUAUUCAAGAAGCUGAAUAACAUAAAGUAAUCAAUUUUAUAAAACUGAAAAGGAAACAACAUCGUGGCAUUGACAUAUUGCGACAAUCACCAUCACCUGGAACCAAACACCCAGAUUCAAAAACACCUCUACCAAACUGUUUAGGAAAACGCCUUUACAAGUGUAAAUCUUUUAAAUCUGUUUGGGCAAAUAUUAUUAACAUUAGACCAAAGUUCCAAAUUUUAACAUCAUGGGUAAUUUGAGAAAUUUUUGAUGUUUAGUUUUAGUUUGAACCUGACAAAGGUUUUUAUUUUUUUGUAAUUUUCAUUUCAGCAAAGCUCACUCAAACAACUGUCAUUUCAACUAUUUUAUUUUCAAAAAGCUUUUUAACCAAAUCCCUUUCAACCAAUCCCUUCUAAACAAAAAAUUGUUCAAUGAUCCUUCAAAAGAUGUAGGUAUCGUUAAAGAAUACUAAACUGUCCGGACAACUAUUGAAUACCUUAAGGAACAAAAAGGGGCAAUAAAAACCAUGGCGCAAAAGUAGCUAAAUUAGCCAAUGGAUGUUCUUGGAUGUCUAUCAAGACUGAUAAUGUUGCUGUGAUAAUCUGAAAACAUGGUGGUUUUUAGAAAUGGGUUUUGGGUUAUUUCCAUGUGGAAAUUUAUAGGAUAAAUUUGUUCACCGGAAAAAGAAUAAUGAUUUUUAAGGGUAAAUAUAUUUUAGGUUUUAUUAAUGUUCUUUAAGUUAUUUUUUGUCCAUAUAUUAUUGUUUAACUUAUUUGAUCUGAUCAUGUUAUGUAUUUAUUAUGACUUGGUGGUGUAUGUUUUAGCUAUAGCUAUAAGGAUAUAAUUUGAACAAAUCAAACAAGUUUAAGAAUAAUAUAUGGAUAAAACAUCAUGAGUGACUAAGGGGGUGUUUGGAUUAGCUUUUUAGUUUAUUGUUUAUAGUUUAUUUGUGGUGGGAAUAAACAAACACUCAAAUUAGCUUGUUGUGGAAAUAAACA
This 1805-nucleotide long non-coding RNA is filed under the name Lactuca sativa (garden lettuce). RNAcentral describes it as "long non-coding RNA (LSAT_LNC005891)". Lineage: Eukaryota; Viridiplantae; Streptophyta; Magnoliopsida; Asterales; Asteraceae. The record is from RNAcentral.